Molecule: ribosomal RNA, 411 nt
Filed under: Actinomycetes bacterium
Lineage: Bacteria; Bacillati; Actinomycetota; Actinomycetes
Description: Actinobacteria bacterium partial 16S ribosomal RNA
Rfam family: Bacterial small subunit ribosomal RNA
Source: RNAcentral
UGGGGAAUAUUGCACAAUGGGCGCAAGCCUGAUGCAGCGACGCCGCGUGGGGGAUGACGGCCUUCGGGUUGUAAACUCCUUUCGCUAGGGACGAAGCUUUUUUUGACGGUACCUAGAUAAGAAGCACCGGCUAACUACGUGCCAGCAGCCGCGGUAAUACGUAGGGUGCGAGCGUUGUCCGGAAUUACUGGGCGUAAAGGGCUCGUAGGUGGUUUGUCGCGUCGUCUGUGAAAUUCCGGGGCUUAACUCCGGGCGUGCAGGCGAUACGGGCAUAACUUGAGUACUGUAGGGGUAACUGGAAUUCCUGGUGUAGCGGUGAAAUGCGCAGAUAUCAGGGGGAACACGGAUGGCGAAGGCAGGUUACUGGGCAGUUACUGACGCUGAGGAGCGAAAGCAUGGGUAGCGAACAGG